Molecule: ribosomal RNA, 253 nt
Filed under: uncultured bacterium
Lineage: Bacteria
Description: partial 16S ribosomal RNA
Rfam family: Bacterial small subunit ribosomal RNA
Source: RNAcentral
UACGUAGGGUGCGAGCGUUAAUCGGAAUUACUGGGCGUAAAGCGUGCGCAGGCGGUUUUGUAAGUCAGACGUGAAAUCCCUCGGCUUAACCGGGGAACUGCGUCUGAUACUGGAUGGCUUGAGGUUGGGAGAGGGAUGCGGAAUUCCAGGUGUAGCGGUGAAAUGCGUAGAUAUCUGGAGGAACACCGGUGGCGAAGGCGGCAUCCUGGACCAACAUUGACGCUGAGGAGCGAAAGCUAGGGGAGCAAACGGG